Molecule: small RNA, 113 nt
Filed under: Pectobacterium wasabiae
Lineage: Bacteria; Pseudomonadati; Pseudomonadota; Gammaproteobacteria; Enterobacterales; Pectobacteriaceae
Also listed under: 1 other name
Description: RtT RNA
Rfam family: RtT RNA
About the family: This family represents a bacterial cis-regulatory element known as RtT RNA. The exact function of RtT is unknown although it is thought that it may be involved in changing the cellular response in relation to amino acid starvation.
Source: RNAcentral
AUAUUGCACGUGUCGUGUAGGUGAGAACCUGCGCUCAGGUUCGAGCCGAGCGAAGCGAGACAGCAACGCGCUAGCGUUGACCCGAAGGGCGAGUCAUCCUGCACGACCCACCA